RNAcentral lists this long non-coding RNA (3272 nucleotides) under Sus scrofa (pig). Its description in RNAcentral is "lncRNA (ENSSSCG00015038552.1)". Lineage: Eukaryota; Metazoa; Chordata; Mammalia; Artiodactyla; Suidae. The record is from RNAcentral.
UUUUUUUUCUCUUUUUACAACCACACCCGUGGGUGGCUGUGGAAGUUCCCGGGCCAGGGGUCGAACUGGAGGUGCAGCUGCAGGCCUAAAGGCCUAAGCCGCAGCCACACUGGAUCCUUCACCCACUCAGGCCAGGGAUCAAACCCACCUUCGCACGAAGUCAGAUCCUUAUUAACCUGCUGAGCCACAACAGGAACUCCUAACCAAGCUUCUCUUCCACCUCAAGACAGCUGAGGAGAGAAGCGGGAGUGGAGUGGUGAUAGAUUCAGUGUGCAGAUUAACGAGGACAGGCCCGCAGCCUCCCGGCGUUAGACUGAGGAGCACAGCGUUCACUUCGUCGAGAUCGCUCUUGUUCUUCAAGUAAGCUGUCGAGUUCUCUUCAUGAAAAUGCUGCGUAUUUCUUAGUAAAUAGUGUCUUGUAAUUUACUCCUACGGUUUUUAUUCCUAAUGGGAUGAGAUCCUUUUUCCUUUUUUCCUCGAGGCAUAUGCAGGUCCCCAGGCUAGGGGUCGAAUCAGAGCCACAGCCACAGCCAAGCAGGAUCCGAGCCUCGUCUGCGACCUACACCACCGCUCACAGCAACACCGGAUCCUUAUCCCACUGAGCGAGGCCAGGGAUGGCUCCUAGUGGGAUUCGUUUCUGCUGAGCCGCGACGGGGACUCCCCCCUUCUCCAUUUCUCAGCUGACGACUGCUGGGGAAACCUUACAGUUGGUUUCCCUGCCUUUAACCGCCCACCUUUCCAAACAGCUACUGGUUCUAGGAACGGUAUUUUGGUUAAUUUCCUUGAAUUUAUUUUUCUGAAUAUCACCUGCAAACUAGGAUCUUUUCUACUUUUCUUCCCAAUAUCUGCACUUAUUCCUUCUUCUCUUCCCUCCAGUAGAUGCUGAAUAAUAGUUUUACUCGAACCCCCUAUUUCACUCUGAAGACUAUCACCACCUACUGGUGGUUUCAAAGAACUACUUUUCAUCACCUUCUACUUUACUGCGUUCUGAAUCCUAACACGCUGUUAAAUUUCACCAGCGCCUGUCAGGUCUCCGCGGGCGAUUUCGAAGGGCUCUGACAUUCCUUCUUUGGGUCACUGGCUGGGCUCCACUUGGCGGAGUGUGACACAAGCCCAAGGGCAAAACACAAAUUUCAUUGAACUGAAUUUUAAAUAAAAAUUUCCCACUACCUAGUAUUUUGAGAAGAACUCUGUUAGUGCCAGUUUUCUAAUAUCUAGUGCCACAGGAGAGACGAAAAGACAAGGCUGAAAUAAAUGAAAAUGUCUACACAACACAAUGCGUAUGUCCAACAAGAAAAGUAAAAGCUAUAAUCAACAUUUUCAAUUUUAUGGCGGGUGCACUACUGAUUACAAAAAAAUCUGUAACAGCAUUGUGCCUUUCCACCUAGAAGGAGCUCAGGAAACACCUGCUAAAUAAAUGCUCGACUGUUCCCCAAACACACCGCCUCUGGUUCUCUCAGGUCUUCACAGGAACACACCCUCCACCUGAGACACCCCCAUGCGGCCGGAACCCUCCCACCUGUCCUGCAGGUUUCAGCCGAAGGACCGGCCGAGUCCAGACACCUGCUCCAGGUCCCUCCUCGGCUCCCUCACACGGCGCUAGCAUAUCGCCCACCCUCUCACCACUAGGACCUGCUUGUGGGUCCGCCUUGCUCCCCCCUCAGACUGCUGCUCUUCUUGUAAACAAGGCCUCCCCUCCCGCGUCCUCCAUACCCUCCCCUCACACAUGCACUGAAGAGAUGCUGCAGAAGGAGGGAGUGGCCAGAGACGGAAUUCCAGACCCGAACCAGCUCUGUGCCCACAGGCCAAUCAGUUACCACCUCUGAAUCUCAGCUUUCCUCACUUACAAAAUUUAACAAUAUCUCUUCUCCUAUCCAGCUCACAGGACUGAUGGGAGAAUCAAAUAAGAUGGAAGAUGGUAAGAGUUUUUCUACAGCCCUACAUUGUUUUGCAGAAGGUUUUAAAAUGUUAAACAAAUUCCACAAUAAAAACCAUAAAAAAGAGUUCCUGUCAUGGCUCAGCGGUUAACGAACCCGACUAGCAUCCAUGAGGACUCAGGUUCGAUCCCUGGCCUCCCUCAGUGGGUUAAGGAUCCGGUGUUGCCAAGAGCUGUGGUGUAGGCUGCAGACACGUGGCUCAGAUCCGGCGCUGCUGGGGCUGUGGUGUAGGCCGGUGGCUACAGCUCCGAUUGGACCCCUAGGCUGGGAACCUCCAUAUGCCGCAGGAGUGGCCCUGGAAAAGGCAGAAACACACACACACACACACACACACACACACACACACACACAAGCUGUAUGGUUAGGUAUAUAAAGCAAAAGCCAAUACCUGCAAUCUUCAGAACAGAAAAUUUCAAGAUGUCUUCAGAAUAGGUAACGUCACUUGCACACUGCUACGAAUUUAUCAGCCCUUCCUCAUUCUAGUUUGUUCAUCCUCAAAUUUAUUUUCUAGCAAGUAACCUCACCAUCUCGCACCAGAAGAUUAAGCCGUACUUACAAGCAUCCACAGAAAACACCCCCUACCACCAUAUGCAGGGGGUGGGGGAUCAAGUCGUUACGCGGAGACAUCGAUCUGUAAAAUCCAUACACAUCUUUUUUGCUGUAAAGGUCUAACAUGCUACUUUAUCAGCAGCUAACCCAAAACCUAAACCGGACUGAAUGCAGAUGUUCACAUCGAGGCAACUGCAACAUCCAAGAAUACAUCUGAAACUUCCCAUCAAGCAAAAGAGAAACAGACUCAGGGACAGAGAGAACACACUUGUGGUUGCCAAGGGGGAGGGGGGAAGAGUGGGAUGGGCGCGGAGUUUGGGGUUAGAUGCUGUUGUUUCGGUUUUGGCCACCCCAGGGCAUACAGAGUUCGCAGGCCGGGGAUCAGCUCUAGGCCACUCUUGCAACCUGUGCCACGGCUGCAGCAACACCAGAUCCUGAAUCAACUGUUCUGGGUAGGGGAAUCGAACCUGCAUCCUAGCACUCCAGAGACACCACGGAUCCCACUGAACCACAGUGGAAACUCUGGACUUGGGGGUCAGUAGAUACAAACUAUUACAUUUAGAGUGGAUAAGCAAUGAGGCCCUACUGCAGAGCACAGGGAACCAUAUCCAAUCUCCUAGGACAGACCAUGAUGGACAUCAACAUAAGAAAAAGAAUGUGUGUGUGUGUGUGUGUGUGUGCGCGCGCGCACGCGCGUACAUGUGCGUGUACAUGUGUAUAUAUGCACAAUGUAAUAAACUAUAAUAAAAAAAAUUCUUUUUGUCUUUUUUCACAGCCUCACCCAUG